AUUGAACGCUGGCGGCAGGCCUAACACAUGCAAGUCGAGCGGAUGAAGGGAGCUUGCUCCUGGAUUCAGCGGCGGACGGGUGAGUAAUGCCUAGGAAUCUGCCUGGUAGUGGGGGAUAACGUCCGGAAACGGGCGCUAAUACUGCAUACGUCCUGAGGGAGAAAGUGGGGGAUCUUCGGACCUCACGCUAUCAGAUGAGCCUAGGUCAGAUUAGCUAGUUGGUGGGGUAAAGGCCUACCAAGGCGACGAUCCGUAACUGGUCUGAGAGGAUGAUCAGUCACACUGGAACUGAGACACGGUCCAGACUCCUACGGGAGGCAGCAGUGGGGAAUAUUGGACAAUGGGCGAAAGCCUGAUCCAGCCAUGCCGCGUGUGUGAAGAAGGUCUUCGGAUUGUAAAGCACUUUAAGUUGGGAGGAAGGGCAGUAAGUUAAUACCUUGCUGUUUUGACGUUACCAACAGAAUAAGCACCGGCUAACUUCGUG
This 484-nucleotide ribosomal RNA is filed under the name uncultured bacterium. RNAcentral's name for it is "partial 16S ribosomal RNA". It matches the Rfam family "Bacterial small subunit ribosomal RNA", at positions 30 to 507 of the family's 1533-position model. The record is from RNAcentral.